Non-coding RNA from Pelobates cultripes (western spadefoot toad), 94 nucleotides. The record is from the annotation of a GenBank genome assembly. Lineage: Eukaryota; Metazoa; Chordata; Amphibia; Anura; Pelobatidae.
GUCUGUGUGUAUUUAGCAGUCUGUCUGUGUAUUUAGCAGUCUGUCUGUAUUUAGCAGACUGCUGAAUACACACACAGACUGCUGAGUACACAGU